This 492-nucleotide ribosomal RNA is filed under the name uncultured bacterium. RNAcentral's name for it is "partial 16S ribosomal RNA". It matches the Rfam family "Bacterial small subunit ribosomal RNA", at positions 29 to 507 of the family's 1533-position model. The record is from RNAcentral.
AGUGAACGCUGGCGGUAGGCCUAACACAUGCAAGUCGAACGGCAGCACCGUAAGAGCUUGCUCUUAUGGGUGGCGAGUGGUGGACGGCUGAGGAAUACAUCGGAAUCUACUUUUUCGUGGGGGAUAACGUCGGGAAACUUACGCUAAUACCGCAUACGACCUACGGGUGAAAGCAGGGGAUCUUCGGACCUUGCGCGAUUGCAUGCGCCGAUGUCGGAUUAGCUAGUUGGCGGGGCAAAGGCCCACCAAGGCGACGAUCCGUAGCUGGUCUGAGAGGAUGAUCGGCCGCACGGGAGCUGAGACAGGGUCCAGACUCCUAAGGGAGGCAGCAGUGGGGAAUAUUAGACAAUAGGGGCGAACCUGGUCCAGCGAUACCGCGUGGGUGAAGAAGACCUUGGGGUUGUAAAGCCCUUUUGUGGGGAAAAAAAAGCAGCAGGUUGGUACCAAGCGGUUCUGACGGUACCCGAAGAAGAAGCACCGGCUAACUACGUG